This 301-nucleotide ribosomal RNA is filed under the name uncultured bacterium. RNAcentral describes it as "partial 16S ribosomal RNA". It matches the Rfam family "Bacterial small subunit ribosomal RNA", at positions 509 to 810 of the family's 1533-position model. The record is from RNAcentral.
CAGUAGCACGGGAAUACGUAGGGUGCGAGCGUUAAUCGGAAUUACUGGGCGUAAAGCGUGCGCAGGCGGUUUUGUAAGACAGGCGUGAAAUCCCCGGGCUCAACCUGGGAAUGGCGCUUGUGACUGCAAAGCUAGAGUGCGGCAGAGGGGGAUGGAAUUCCGCGUGUAGCAGUGAAAUGCGUAGAUAUGCGGAGGAACACCGAUGGCGAAGGCAAUCCCCUGGGCCUGCACUGACGCUCAUGCACGAAAGCGUGGGGAGCAAACAGGAUUAGAUACCCCUGUAGUCCCUGUCUCUGAUACA